Mustela lutreola (European mink) is the source of this 2956-nucleotide long non-coding RNA. RefSeq lists it as uncharacterized. The record is from RefSeq and is a predicted model, not a curated record. The transcript has 7 exons. Lineage: Eukaryota; Metazoa; Chordata; Mammalia; Carnivora; Mustelidae.
CAAGCGUGCUGACGUUCGCCUUUGCGUCGAGCCUUCGCCGGAAGCGCGCUUGUGUCGGUGUCUCUGGGCACCGGGGAGAGGGAAAGCACAGGUCAUCAUUUGGGAGGAGCUUAUAUUUAUAAUUCCACACAAGAUAAUGUAGAACAUCUUUUCCAUUUUGUACAGCACUGACACUGCCGAGACUAUGAGAACAUCAGUAACACAUGAUCCUUGUCUAGGAGAUCAGGGAGGACUUGCUGGAGGAGGCUGCAUCAAGCUCUAGGAAUAGAGAGAGAUCACAAGUAGGCAGAGAUGCAGGCAGAGAGAGAGGAGGAAGCAGGCUCCCAGGACCCUGGGAUCAUGACCUGAGCGGAAGGCAGAGGCUUUAACCCACUGACCCACCCAGAUUUUAUUUAUUUAUUUGACAGAGAUACAAUGAGAGACGGAACACCAAGCAGAGGGAGUGCAAGAGGGAGAAGCAGGCUUCCUGCUGAGCAGGGUGCCCAGUGCGAUUGUGGUGGGGCUUGAUCCCAGGACUCUGGGAUCACGACCUGAGCCGAAGGCAAAUGCUGAAUGACUGAGACACCCAGGCGUCCUCAGCAUUGUCAUUCUUGAAAUAUUUUUGAAGCUGUUUUUCAAGAAGAUUCUAGGAUACAGAAGAUCCAGGUCAACAUGGCCCUUGGGAGGCUGGUGACUGAGACCAGGGUGCUCAUGCCUGUGAACAUAUCCAUGGAUUGCUGCUUUAGGAGGAAGCCAAGAGCUCGUUUGUGGACAGUAUCCAGGAUGAAUCUGUGUAAAAUGCCAAUGAAAAUACUCCCAGUCAAAACAUGAGGUGUGUGGGUGAGCUGUGAACAAAGAAAACGUCAUCACACUGAGAGCUUGAAGUACCAGGCAAGAAAGAUGACCAAGAAGCAAAUGAAGCAUCCGACUGAACAAUGCCAAGGAGGGCUCAGAGACACAAUUUUUAAAAGGGAAAGUACUUGCAAAGGAAACAGAGAAAUCAGACUUCAGAAGGAUUGGCUCCCCAAAUAGAGGACCUAGUAAACAUUUGAUCACAUAAACAACAGAGUUAUCAAGGUUUGCAAGUUUAUACUAGUGUGUUAAUGCUGGCCAUGGUCAACUUCCUUACAUGACUAUAGUCAUAAAGACCAAGGCAUAUUCUCAGAUAUCAACAUAGCAAAAUCACCAGUAGAAUUGCUUUUGUUUGGAAACCAGGUUUACAGGAUAUUCAAUAUUUUAAUUGCUUGGUGGUCCAAGCCAGUUAGGGUGGCCUUGUUAUUUUUAUUUUAGAAGGCAAAGUACUUUACUUUUUUCCCAAUUGCUGUCUGUGAAAUGCUCAGUUCUGUUGGCAAUAGCAUAAUGUGUCAGUGUUGGCUUCUUGCAUCCCUCCUUUGGUCAAGUUCCUGCCAUUAAGAUGUAGAUUUGACGGAAGAGUUGGCUUGUAGUUGUUGUUUUUAAAUUCAGUAUCAUUAAUUGGUUGUUUUGUGUUAUUUGGUGCAAUUACAUAGGAGUUACUAGAGUUGUUGUUUUCAUAGAAAGUCCUUUUAAUGGUUAUCAAAACUAUAGUCUUAUAACAUAGAGGCCUCAAAGUACACUUUUUGAGGGCAUUUUUUGUUCAGUGCUUAGGGUUUAUGUUCAGAAGUAUUUUAUUGCCCUCAUCAGAUCUGUUGGGAUUGAGAACUGGGAAACUCCUUCACUCUACCAGGUCAAGCUGAAGUAACUAUGACAGUAAGGGUACCCAUGUUGGUCACGGCUCUUGACUUGCAAGGAAGUGAGACUCAAAAUAUGUGUAAGAGUGGGAUUUCAUAAGCCAUAGAGCAGACACCAGGCAAGUUUUCCUGGGAGACAUUUGUGGCUAUCUUUUCCACAUGUGAAUAGUCCUUAUGAGUGGGCAUUUGACACUGAAUUCCAGAAGAAUUAAACAUUUAAAUGUAUAAAAUCUUCUAGAAGUAGAAGACUAUCUUUUUUUAAUCUUUGUGUAAGUAAAAAUAAUUAAGACAUAAGAAGUUCUAAUCAGAAAGAUAGACACCUCUGACCUUAUUAAAAUUGAGAACUUCUGGGGCGCCUGGGUGGCUCAGUGGGUUAAAUCCGCUGCCUUCGGCUCGGGUCGUGAUCCCAGGGUCCUGUGAUCGAGCCCCACAUCGGGCUCUCUGCUCAGCGGGGAGCCUGCUUCUUCCUCUCUCUCUGCCUGCCUCUCUGCCUACUUGUGAUCUCUCUGUCAAAUAGAUAAAUAAAAUCUUUAAAAAAAAAAAAUUGAGAACUUCUGUUCAUCAGGAGACACCAAAAAGGAAGGGCAAAAACAAAUUACGAACUGGGAGAAGAUAUUUGCAAUGCCUGUAGCGGAGGAAGAUGGUAGUAUUCAGAUUAAUCCUAUAAAACAAACAGAAAAAGACAACCAAUGCAGGAACUGUCCAAACAGAGAUUUCACAGGGAGAAGAAAUACAAAACGUGAAUAAACAUGAAAAAUUACUCAACUUCUUUAGUAACGAAGGAAAUACAAAUCCAUUCUGUAAUGAUAUAGCACAUAAAACCCACUAAAGGAGCUAAAGUUAAGAAUCGUAUAAUCACAAAUCUCAAAAAUGAAUAGAAACUCUUAUACACUGCUGAUGGGGCGAUAAAUAUACCCACCCACUUUGGACACAAUUUGGUAAUAUAUUAGUAGUUGAACACUCACAUACACUAUAAUCCAGCAAUUCCACCAGUACACAUGACUUUUGCAUGUGUGCAUAGGGAGACUCCGUAAGGACAUCCAUGGCAAGAAUAAAAUAUCAUAUUUCUACCUUCCUUUCUGAAAACAUUGGAUAGAUGCAGACUGCUGAAGUCACCUAGAAGGUUCCUUCUGCAUAAUAACUCAGGGAAGUUCUUGAGAAUGAACAAAGAAGAUGUUCAUACAACUACCCAUUCUUUUUUUAUUCUGGAUAAUUUUAAAUAUCAUCCGACUGGCAAGUCACCUCCAAUAAAAUAUAAACUGAAAAUA